UAAUACGUAGGGGGCAAGCGUUAUCCGGAUUUACUGGGUGUAAAGGGAGCGUAGACGGCUAUGCAAGUCUGGUGUGAAAACCCGGGGCUCAACCCCGGGACUGCAUUGGAAACUGUGUGGCUUGAGUGUCGGAGAGGUAAGUGGAAUUCCUAGUGUAGCGGUGAAAUGCGUAGAUAUUAGGAGGAACACCAGUGGCGAAGGCGGCUUACUGGACGAUGACUGACGUUGAGGCUCGAAAGCGUGGGGAGCAAACAGGAUUAGAUACCCUGGUAGUCCACGCCGUAAACGAUGUAUACUAGGUGUCGGGUGGCAAAGCCAUCCGGUGCCGCAGCAAACGCAAUAAGUAUACCACCUGGGGAGUACGUUCGCAAGAAUGAAACUUAAAUGAAUUGACGG
This 396-nucleotide ribosomal RNA is filed under the name uncultured bacterium. RNAcentral describes it as "bacterial SSU rRNA". It matches the Rfam family "Bacterial small subunit ribosomal RNA", at positions 521 to 916 of the family's 1533-position model. The record is from RNAcentral.